Molecule: long non-coding RNA, 276 nt
Organism: Chinchilla lanigera (long-tailed chinchilla)
Lineage: Eukaryota; Metazoa; Chordata; Mammalia; Rodentia; Chinchillidae
Exons: 3
Source: RefSeq, a predicted model, not a curated record
UUGCAGCAGAAACACCCUGCUAAAGAGCAAGUAUCUUGAUUCACAGCAAAGAGGACAAAGGAAAACAGCAAGUUAUAGGGCGUUGAAUCCUGGAUUGGAGAAAUCCGGAGUGAAUGGAGGCAGCGCCCUCAGCAGCCCUUGCCCUUUGUUCUUCUGAGAUUCUCUGGGAGCUCUGCUACCCUUUCAAAGUUAAUGGUCUGAACAAUAGUAUUUGGCCACUGAAUAAGCAAACACAACUGUUCCAGGUGUGAUAUCGCAAACUACAACUAUCCAGGA